This 702-nucleotide unclassified non-coding RNA is filed under the name Hevea brasiliensis (rubber tree). Lineage: Eukaryota; Viridiplantae; Streptophyta; Magnoliopsida; Malpighiales; Euphorbiaceae. The record is from RNAcentral.
UUUCACUCCAUUAAUCUCAACAACAACAAGAAAAGUUUGAAGCUUUCUAUCAGAAAAUCAAAGUGUUGUUGUUUUACUCUCAGUUCUACACAUAGUUGCUGCAAAGACCAAGAAAAACCCCAAAACAAUAGCUACAGUAUCGACCCAGAUCGACAGAAGAACCCCAUAAUAAAUUGGGAAGAAUUUUAUUCUUCUAUUCAAGAACAAGAAGAGAUAACCCAGUACAACGAGGAGGAGGAAGAAGAAGAGCCGGAAUUUGAGCUUCCAGAUCAUUCAGGCAUUAGAACAAACAUGUGGUGGACUGAACUGAAAGCUGCAUUGGGUCAGAGGAUUAAUGUGGAAGGGAUUGUUUCUUCAUUAGGGGUUUUCUCUAAAGACAAGCAUUUGGCGAUCCCACAUGUUAGUGUGCCGGAUAUAAGGUAUAUUGAUUGGGCUGAGCUAAAGAAAAGAGGGUUUGAAGGUGUGGUGUUUGAUAAGGAUAAUACCAUUACUGUUCCUUAUUCUUUGAGCUUGUGGUCUCCUUUAGCUUCUUCUAUUGAUCAGUGCAAAUCUCUGUUUGGUAACAAUAUUGCAGUGUAUAGCAACUCAGCAGGAUUAGAUGAAUAUGACCCUGAUGGUAGAAAGGCCAGAAUUCUCGAACGUGCUAUUGGAAUUAAAGUCAUUAAGCAUGGACUGAAGAAGCCAGCUGGAACAGCUGAAGAA